AAGGGCUUAGCUCAGUGGUUAGAGCGCUCGUAUUUCCCAAAUUGGAUAACGUAAAUACGGAUGGCUGUCGUCGGUUCAAAUCCGGCACCCUUUU
RNAcentral lists this transfer RNA (94 nucleotides) under Caudoviricetes sp. RNAcentral's name for it is "tRNA-OTHER". It matches the Rfam family "tRNA". From Rfam's summary of the family: Transfer RNA (tRNA) molecules are approximately 80 nucleotides in length. Their secondary structure includes four short double-helical elements and three loops (D, anti-codon, and T loops). Further hydrogen bonds mediate the characteristic L-shaped molecular structure. tRNAs have two regions of fundamental functional importance: the anti-codon, which is responsible for specific mRNA codon recognition, and the 3' end, to which the tRNAs corresponding amino acid is attached (by aminoacyl-tRNA synthetases). tRNAs cope with the degeneracy of the genetic code in two manners: having more than one tRNA (with a specific anti-codon) for a particular amino acid; and 'wobble' base-pairing, i.e. permitting non-standard base-pairing at the 3rd anti-codon position. The record is from RNAcentral. Lineage: Duplodnaviria; Heunggongvirae; Uroviricota; Caudoviricetes.